This 78-nucleotide transfer RNA is filed under the name Klebsiella pneumoniae. RNAcentral describes it as "tRNA-Arg". The stretch from base 4 to 70 matches the Rfam family "tRNA". From Rfam's summary of the family: Transfer RNA (tRNA) molecules are approximately 80 nucleotides in length. Their secondary structure includes four short double-helical elements and three loops (D, anti-codon, and T loops). Further hydrogen bonds mediate the characteristic L-shaped molecular structure. tRNAs have two regions of fundamental functional importance: the anti-codon, which is responsible for specific mRNA codon recognition, and the 3' end, to which the tRNAs corresponding amino acid is attached (by aminoacyl-tRNA synthetases). tRNAs cope with the degeneracy of the genetic code in two manners: having more than one tRNA (with a specific anti-codon) for a particular amino acid; and 'wobble' base-pairing, i.e. permitting non-standard base-pairing at the 3rd anti-codon position. The record is from RNAcentral. Lineage: Bacteria; Pseudomonadati; Pseudomonadota; Gammaproteobacteria; Enterobacterales; Enterobacteriaceae.
GCAUCCGUAGCUCAGCUGGAUAGAGUACUCGGCUACGAACCGAGCGGUCGGAGGUUCGAAUCCUCCCGGAAUGCACCA